GGCUAGUUUGAAGGUAAUGAGUUAUGUCAAUUGAUUGUUCAUAAUCAAAUUCCUUGUUCGACCCUUUUUCCUCUUUUCACUACUGCACCUGACUAGUCUUAA
RNAcentral lists this Y RNA (102 nucleotides) under Saimiri boliviensis boliviensis (Bolivian squirrel monkey). RNAcentral's name for it is "Y RNA (ENSSBOG00000015513.1)". It matches the Rfam family "Y RNA". From Rfam's summary of the family: Y RNAs are components of the Ro ribonucleoprotein particle (Ro RNP), in association with Ro60 and La proteins. The Y RNAs and Ro60 and La proteins are well conserved, but the function of the Ro RNP is not known. Lineage: Eukaryota; Metazoa; Chordata; Mammalia; Primates; Cebidae. The record is from Rfam by way of RNAcentral.